UUCCAGACUCCUACGGGAGGCAGCAGUGAGGAAUAUUGGUCAAUGGCCGAGAGGCUGAACCAGCCAAGUCGCGUGAGGGAUGACGGCCCUACGGGUUGUAAACCUCUUUUGUCGGGGAGCAAAGAGAGUCACGUGUGGCUCAUUGAGAGUACCCGAAGAAAAAGCAUCGGCUAACUCCGUGCCAGCAGCCGCGGUAAUACGGAGGAUGCGAGCGUUAUCCGGAUUUAUUGGGUUUAAAGGUUGCGAAGGCGGAAGAUAAAGUCAGGGUUAAACUGGGGAGGCUCACCCUCUUCGAGCCGUUGAAACUGGUUUUCUUGAGUGAGCGAGAAGUAUGCGGAAUGCGUGGUGUAGCGGUGAAAUGCAUAGAUAUCACGCAGAACUCCGAUUGCGAAGGCAGCAUACCGGCGCUCAACUGACGCUCAUGCACGAAAGCGUGGGUAUCGAACAGGAUUAGAUACCCCCGUA
This 465-nucleotide ribosomal RNA is filed under the name uncultured bacterium. RNAcentral's name for it is "bacterial SSU rRNA". It matches the Rfam family "Bacterial small subunit ribosomal RNA", at positions 329 to 792 of the family's 1533-position model. The record is from RNAcentral.